Molecule: ribosomal RNA, 701 nt
Filed under: uncultured bacterium
Lineage: Bacteria
Description: bacterial SSU rRNA
Rfam family: Bacterial small subunit ribosomal RNA
Source: RNAcentral
AGAGUUUGAUCCUGGCUCAGAGCGAACGCUGGCGGCAUGCUUAACACAUGCAAGUCGCACGGUAUGGGGGCAACUCUGUGCAGUGGCGGACGGGUGAGUAUCGCGUAGGAAUCUAUCCUUGGAUGGGGGACAACCGUGGGAAACUACGGCUAAUACCGCAUGAUGCCUGAGGGCCAAAGCUCGUGAGAGCGUCUGAGGAGGAGCCUGCGUCUGAUUAGGUAGUUGGUGGGGUAAAGGCCUACCAAGCCUUCGAUCAGUAGCUGGUCUGAGAGGAUGAUCAGCCACAUUGGGACUGAGACACGGCCCAAACUCCUACGGGAGGCAGCAGUGGGGAAUAUUGGACAAUGGGCGCAAGCCUGAUCCAGCAAUGCCGCGUGGGUGAAGAAGGUUUUCGGAUUGUAAAGCCCUUUUGGCGGGGACGAUGAUGACGGUACCCGCAGAAUAAGCUCCGGCUAACUUCGUGCCAGCAGCCGCGGUAAUACGAAGGGGGCUAGCGUUGCUCGGAAUGACUGGGCGUAAAGGGCGCGUAGGCGGCUUACACAGUCAGGCGUGAAAUUCCUGGGCUCAACCUGGGGACUGCGUCUAAUACAUGUAGGCUUGAGUGUGAGAGAGGGUCGUGGAAUUUCCAGUGUAGAGGUGGAAUUCGUAGAUAUUGGAAAGAACACCGGUGGCGAAGGCGGCGACCUGGUUCAUUACUGACG